RNAcentral lists this ribosomal RNA (353 nucleotides) under uncultured Clostridium sp. RNAcentral describes it as "bacterial SSU rRNA". It matches the Rfam family "Bacterial small subunit ribosomal RNA", at positions 354 to 720 of the family's 1533-position model. The record is from RNAcentral. Lineage: Bacteria; Bacillati; Bacillota; Clostridia; Eubacteriales; Clostridiaceae.
UGAGGGAAUAUUUGGGGGGCAAUGGGCGAAAGCCUGACCCAGCAACGCCGCGUGAAGGAAGACGGUUUUCGGAUUGUAAACUUCUUUUAAGAGGGACGAUAAUGACGGUACCUCUUGAAUAAGCCACGGCUAACUACGUGCCAGCAGCCGCGGUAAUACGUAGGUGGCAAGCGUUGUCCGGAUUUACUGGGUGUAAAGGGCGAGUAGGCGGACCUGCAAGUCAGAUGUGAAAUCCCCGGGCUUAACCCGGGAACUGCAUUUGAAACUGUAGGCCUUGAGUGAUGGAGAGGCAGGCGGAAUUCCCGGUGUAGCGGUGGAAUGCGUAGAUAUCGGGAGGAACACCAGUGGCGAAG